UGGGUCUUUACUGCUUUGGAUUUUCAAGAGAAGAACUUUUAGGGAAGAAAUAGAUGAAAGGAGAAAGGUAGUUAAAAUCCAAAUUUCUUUAUGAUAUAAGCAUUUGUCUUCAGAUUUAGAAUGGAAUAGCUAAUUCCAUUAUAUAUGGGCUAUGGAUCUGACUGGGAGAAACAAAAUAAGUGAAGGUAGGGAAGAAUAAGAUCAAUAUGUUUGGGAAAGCUUGGAAUAAAGAAGAAUAAGCGGUGGGUGUUUG
This 253-nucleotide long non-coding RNA is filed under the name Nicotiana benthamiana. RNAcentral's name for it is "long non-coding RNA (NBEN_LNC031359)". The record is from RNAcentral. Lineage: Eukaryota; Viridiplantae; Streptophyta; Magnoliopsida; Solanales; Solanaceae.